CCGGAAGAGCCCGUCACAUGGCCGCGCGGCGCUGCCAUAAACACACCAAGAUGGCGGCCCUCACGCCGCCAGCCCGUGCUGCGUCAUGUCGCCGCCGGCCCCGCCGAGCCCGCAGGCUUCUACAGUGGUUUGUUAAAAUCGCGCUAAUCCAGAUGGGCAGGGGGCCUGCUGCUAGCGCGCCUCGCAAGCUGCCGCAGGAGCGGGGUCGAGAGCUGCUUGUAGUACUCGAAGAUACUUGACCUGUGCGUAGGGGUGGGGAGUCGCAAGCCUUGUGGGUUGUGGUCAGGGCACAGCAGUAAUUCCAUCAGUGUGAUGCUAAAGAAAUUUUGGUUCAUGCAAAACGAGUGGAAAAAAAAAAAAUCCAUAGAAGCACCAGCUCCAAAGGGACAGGAGGUGGGACUGGAGUUUAAAGACCAGCCAGAGAAACUUAAAAGGCUGUGACAAGUGAGAACUGGCAGCAAACACUGGAAACAGUAGAGUUUUUUUAUAAAAGCAUAUGGAAAUAUGCAAUGUCUUUAGCAAUAACAAGAACAAAAAUGUUUGCUAGACUCCAAAACUAAUGUGGGUUUUCCUCAAAAAGGGGGAUUCUUCUGAUGCUAACAGGGAACCUACUUAGGCUUUUUGUAUCAGGUCUGUGUGUCUUAAGGAACAAAGCAGAAAUCGGGGGGGUGGGGGUGUCGGUGUUAGGUGCAAGGGAGCAAACUAUUUGUAUUGGAGUAAGAGCUACAUCCUUUCUGGAGAAAAUGGCAUCAACCCUUACAACAUAUAUGUGUGCAACUCAAACAGCCCUUGUUCCAGAGGGUGCUGGGGAGAUAGUGUUCACCCUGGCAGUCACAUAUACUCUCCCUUUAAAGAGCGUAACAGUAACUGCUGGAGCACAGAGUAAAACCUAGAAACAGUGGUCAAGGCAUACUUGAGCUAUAAAAUCACAAUUCUUCUCUUGUCUCUUCAGCCUGUGAAAUGUAGGAUUCCCAAUCCUAUGUUUAUGCCAUUCUACUGAAAUGGGUAGAAUUUUUCUGCUGGAAUAGUAAUAGUGUUGUAAAAACACCUCAGAGUGAGAGCAAAUGGUUCAUUAGUUACGCAGCUUCCUUCCUUUUCAAAAGUCACCGUUGUAUAUUCAGAAUAUGUCAGUAUUUUUUACCGAGUUUUUUUGUUGUUUUUUUUUCCUAGCAGCAGCGGAUUCUUUAAUGAUUAAUCUGCAAAUGGUGGUAAAUCUGUGAGUUUUGGAAUAUAUGCUUAAGUCAUCUGUGUCGUCUUACGUCAGUAUUGCAUAAUCUGUUGGCUGUCCCCUUUUUAUGUAAUGUAUGUUUGUAGUUUGUUUUAAAAUGUACAAAUAUUUUUUUCCACUGCGUGCUUCUACUCAGAUAUUUCCAUAUUUGUCUCUCCGUUGCCCUCUUGAGUUAAAAACUUGUAAGACACCAUUUUGAUAGCUGGAUCCAGCUGAGUGUUACGUAUUUCUCUUUUAAAAACAGUCUCCAUAACAUCUUGAGACAUGCUUUUUUCCAGGUAAUUUAAUCAGAGUGUUACACCAUUUUUGGAGUUUCUGCUUCCUCCUGGUAGAAAUAUGAGAGCAACUUGUUCUGGUGAAGUCCAUCAACAUCAUAAACUUUAUAGAAAAUUUAGUAACACAUUAACUUUUACUAUGCAAAACAGUUGCGGUUUUUAAACCUGUUUCAGAACUCGGUUGUAUUUGAUUCCCUUAACCAAAGGUUGGGUGUUUGUGUAGGAGUAGUCGUUUUCAGCAAUGCCUGGUUUUAGGGAAGAAAAAAAAAAGUGUGUGUGUGUAAAGUAUAGGUUGAUGUAAGUUAAUAAUUUAACUAGUUUGCAGUGAAAAUGUUUAUUGUGCAAUUUUGUAUUUGGAUCCUAUGAUGUAAAAGUGCCAGCUGCAUACUUGGAGCACCUCAACCCUUUAAGUCCCUCUUCUGCUUACUCCAGCUGCAGUCCCUUAGGAACGCAGCUGGCUGCCUGGCAUUGGGUGCUGCUCCCGUCGAAGCCAUCAGUAGGCAUAGGAACGGGCAUCUGUGAUGCUGGCUCCAGAAGCACAUGUGACAAACUCCGAUUAAGCCCAGCCGAAUGUGUUCACAGUGCUGUAAAAUUCCACCACCUGCCAGCCCGCUCUGCUGGCGAAAGGCUGGCAGGCUUGGUGCAGUAUGCCGCGUGGUCAGGGCAUGGUGCUACCCUUGUACUCGUGCUGUUUGUGAUCCCGCUUCUCAGCUGUCACUAGUGGUGUAGUUCCAUUAACUUACCUGGCUGUCUGCCAUUAUACCCAUUGACUGACUGGUUCAUGACAUUCAGUACUUAAGAAGCAUGGACCAAACGCUAGGUUCUAGCUCUAGAAUUUAAGGGGGACAGAGGAGUGCCCCCAUUCACUGUAGUGAUAGUUGUAGAGUGGUUAGUUACCCUUUCUCCAACACAGCACUGGUGGAUUUGGUCAGAAGAAGCUGCUACUUAAAAAACACUUUGAGCUGCAUUGUAAAAGCUGCAGUGGUCAUUAAGAUAGCAUUAAUUAUCUGGAUAAUUUUCUGGACUGAAACCUCAGAUGUGAAGGCAACGCUCCAGAGCCUUUCACCUAGCAGCUUGGUGUCUCUUGGGGGUGAUGUGGGAUUUUUGAGACAUGUGAGGGCCGAGGAGACAGAGGACGUGCCUCCUGGGCUCGGCAGUGUUGCGGGGGGGCUGCAAUGACUGACAGGCUGCCCUGGCUCAGUUAUCACAGUGCUGAUGCUGUCUCUUGUAAAGGUACAGUACUGUGAUAACUGAAGGAUGGCAGCCAUCUGAGCUUCACGGGGCCCCACGCCGCUGGUUCUCUGUGCCCUGGGGACUGACGGACUGACAGAGAGAGCACAGCAUCCUGACCUGGAGUGAACUUGUUUUAAAUGAACCUCUUUGCAUAAAAGUCAAAGGUUACUGUUUUGUUUGAAUAAAAUAUUACACUUUAUUGUA
Long non-coding RNA from Falco peregrinus (peregrine falcon), 2940 nucleotides. RefSeq lists it as uncharacterized. The record is from RefSeq and is a predicted model, not a curated record. Lineage: Eukaryota; Metazoa; Chordata; Aves; Falconiformes; Falconidae. The transcript has 2 exons.